This 253-nucleotide ribosomal RNA is filed under the name uncultured bacterium. RNAcentral describes it as "partial 16S ribosomal RNA". It matches the Rfam family "Bacterial small subunit ribosomal RNA", at positions 524 to 776 of the family's 1533-position model. The record is from RNAcentral.
UACGUAGGGACCGAGCGUUGUCCGGAAUCAUUGGGCGUAAAGAGCGUGUAGGCGGCUAUUUAAGUCCUGCGUGAAAUCCUGCGGCUCAACCGCAGACGGUCGUGGGAAACUGGAUGGCUAGAGUGCGGGAGGGGAGAGUGGAAUUCCCGGUGUAGCGGUGAAAUGCGCAGAUAUCGGGAAGAACACCCGUGGCGAAGGCGGCUCUCUGGAACGCAACUGACGCUGAGACGCGAAAGCGUGGGGAGCAAACAGG